CAACAGAGAGCACUUGCUACAAUCACGCCACCACGCUGCUAAGAGUUUAUCGAAAAUUCACAGUGUAUAAAAGGACAACAGGUGCUUCGUUCUGGCAUAACACGAUUUUUGUGCAAAUCUUAUCUUCGAUUUCAUUCUAAUCCUCAAAAACCAAACCAAAAACCAAAAAUGGGCGCUGAAAAAGUAACCAUGAACAUCGUUGUCGUCGGACAAGUCCAAUCUGCCAAGGCCAUCAAAUCGGUCGCCAAAGCCGCCCCAGCCACCAGCCAAUUGAUGAACUGUUAAUUCACAAAGCACACACCAAUCUCAAGCUCAAAAAUGCCAUAGCCCAAACAUUACACGAUUUUAUAAUUUUGUACUUAAUUAUAAUAAUGUGUGUUGACAUUGCAAAAUAAAUCACUUCCGUCCUAAAAA
Molecule: long non-coding RNA, 414 nt
Organism: Myzus persicae (green peach aphid)
Lineage: Eukaryota; Metazoa; Arthropoda; Insecta; Hemiptera; Aphididae
Exons: 3
Source: RefSeq, a predicted model, not a curated record